UUGGAGGGCAAGUCUGGUGCCAGCAGCCGCGGUAAUUCCAGCUCCAAUAGCGUAUAUUAAAGUUGUUGCAGUUAAAAAGCUCGUAGUUGAAUUUCGGGGUUCUACCGUUGGUCGGGCAAUAGUCUGUACUGGCGUGUGGAAUUUCUACCUUCUGGGGAACCAUCAUGUUAUUUAUUUAACGUGGUGGGAAACCAGGACCUUUACCUUGAAAAAAUUAGAGUGUUCAAAGCAGGCUUACGUCUGAAUACAUUAGCAUGGAAUAAUAAAAUAGGACGGUGGUCCUGUUUUGUUGGUUUCUGAAUCACCGUAAUGAUUAAUAGGGAUAGUUGGGGGCAUUAGUAUUCAAUUGUCAGAGGUGAAAUUCUUGGAUUUAUUGAAGACUAACUACUGCGAAAGCAUUUGCCAAGGAUGUUUUCAUUAAUCAAGAACGAAAGUUAGGGGAUCGAAGACGAUCAGAUACCGUCGUAGUCUUAACCAUAAACUAUGCCGACUAGGGAUCGGAUGAUGUUAAUUUUUUAAUGACUCAUUCGGCGCCUUACGGGAAAC
Molecule: ribosomal RNA, 546 nt
Filed under: uncultured Glomeromycotina
Lineage: Eukaryota; Fungi; Glomeromycota
Description: SSU rRNA
Rfam family: Eukaryotic small subunit ribosomal RNA
Source: RNAcentral